ACAUGCAAGUGUACGAGAACCCGGUGCUUGCAUUGGGGGGAGAGUGGCGAACGGGUGAGUAACACGUGGAUUAUCUGCCUUCAGGUCUGGGAUAACCCCGGGAAACCGGGGCUAAUACCGGAUAAUAUGGCAACAUUAAAGGUGGGGACCUUCGGGCCUAUCGCCUGAAGAUGAGUCCGCGUCCCAUUAGCUUGUUGGUGGGGUAAUGGCCUACCAAGGCGACGAUGGGUAGCCGGCCUGAGAGGGUGUACGGCCACAUUGGGACUGAGAUACGGCCCAGACUCCUACGGGAGGCAGCAGUUAAGAAUCUUGCGCAAUGGGCGAAAGCCUGACGCAGCGACGCCGCGUGGACGAUGAAGGCCUUCGGGUUGUAAAGUCCGGUAAGCAGGGAAGAAUAAGUGUAAAGUAAUAUCUUGCACGAUGACGGUACCUGCCUAAAGCCCCGGCUAACUACGUGCCAGCAGCCGCGGUAAUACGUAUGGGGCAAGCGUUGUUCGGAAUUAUUGGGCAUAAAGGGCGUCUAGGCGGGGGACUAAGUUAGGUGUGAAAGCCAUGGGCUCAACCCAUGAAUUGCACCUAAAACUGGUUUUCUUGAGUUCGGGAGAGGAGAGCGGAAUUCCCGGUGUAGCGGUGAAAUGCGUAGAUAUCGGGAAGAACACCAGUGGCGAAGGCGGCUCUCUGGCCUAGAACUGACGCUGAAGCGCGAAAGCGUGGGGAGCGAACGGGAUUAGAUACCCCGGUAGUCCACGCCGUAAACGUUGUGUACUAGGUGUUAGUGGCUUGACCACUAGUGCCGUCGCAAACGCAUUAAGU
This 813-nucleotide ribosomal RNA is filed under the name uncultured organism. RNAcentral describes it as "bacterial SSU rRNA". It matches the Rfam family "Bacterial small subunit ribosomal RNA", at positions 53 to 865 of the family's 1533-position model. The record is from RNAcentral.